RNAcentral lists this long non-coding RNA (1097 nucleotides) under Salmo salar (Atlantic salmon). Its description in RNAcentral is "lncRNA (ENSSSAG00000109375.1)". Lineage: Eukaryota; Metazoa; Chordata; Actinopteri; Salmoniformes; Salmonidae. The record is from RNAcentral.
GGUAGAUACAGGAGUAGUCUAUAGUCUACAAUAAUAACAUAAUUGAAUGUGCGAUAGUAUCAUUUAUUUCACUCAUUUUUUUUUUGUACCAGCCCCCCGUGGGAAUCAAACCCACAACCCUGGCAUUGCACACACCAUGCUGGCGUAGCAAACACCAUGCUCUACCAACUGAGCCACAGGGAAUGAUGCAAUUGUGUAUAACAUUAUUGCAUAUACUGUAGUAUACAUUUAUUUGAUUGACUUAGUGUUUUUCUUUUGCUGUUUUUGUAUAACGUACUUUGAGGUCACUGAUACUCCACCUGAUGUGGUGGAAGUUGUCGAACCUUCAGGCAUGAACUGAGAAGGAUGUGGAGGUUUUUGACCAGACUGAACAUGGACAGGGCACAUGAGAAGGAGAGCCACCUGAGAAGAAUCAAGGGGACCAAGUGCUUCGACAUCCGAGCGAAUGACUUGGCUUGGAAGAAGGAUGAAAGGAAGGCGAGACCCGGGAAAGCUUGCUGCUCUUAGCUGGGAUCAACAUCCGUUAAGGACCUAGGGGUUCUGCCUAACACCCAGACAUGGAUCCAGCUGAUGUCCUCCAUUACCAAUCACCCUCCAACUCUUCAUUACAUCAGCUACUGUUAUUGUCAAGUUGUCAUUAUCUGCUAAGAAAGAGCAAGACAACUAUCAGACUUGGCACAUGGUGUUUUUAUAGCUAAUCUGUUCAGCUCACACUAUCACUGCAAACACUCAGAACAAAGAGGGCAGCAGCGCCUGGACAUUGCAGUUUCCCUCUUCGAGUCUACAACCUGUUGAAAAACAGGCAGAACCUCCCAUCCACACAAUACUUCCCUCCUCUCUAUUCCACACACCAGAAUUAUUUCAGUCUAUGGUUUCCAUGUGAGUGUACAAAAAAAUCAGAAAGUAAAUUGAAACACAUGUACCAAAAACAUAUAAAUGGUUAUGUAUUAAAAUCUAAAAUAUUGCUAGAAUGGUGUUCACAGCUGUUUCAUAAGGUGUUCGUUAUUGUAAAUUGUAACAUAUCCCUUGAUGGUAUUUGUUAGUUCAACAUUAUUAAUUGUAUCAUAAGACAUGCAAUAGAUAUAUUCAACCACAAG